AGAGAGAGAGAGAGAGAGAGAGAGAGAGAGAGAGAGAGAGAGAGAGAGAGAGAGAGAGAGAGAGAGAGAGAGAGAGAGAGAGAGAGAGGAUAGUCUGUCUCAGUGCCUAAUUACUUACUCGUACUCAAAUGGAUUGGUGUGGCAUGUGUGUACGUACGUAUGUAUGUAUGUAUGUUCGGAUGUAUGUAUGCAGACAUCGAUUAGUAAGAGAACGUACAUGAGAGAGAGAGAGAGAGAGAGAGAGAGAGAGAGUAGUGGGUUGGUAGGUUAAGUUAGUUUAGUUGUGUGUGUGUGUGUGUGUGUGUGUGUGUGUGUGUGUGUGUGUGUGUGUGUGUGUGAAUGCAUUAACGAGCAUUCACGCACGUCACAGCACAGGUGAAGUAACCAGACUAUUUCACCACUGAGUACAAAAUGGAGCUCACGUACACACAUACAAACAAAUAGAUGUGUUAAUGUUAAUGUUGACACCUUACAUGGCAACACUGCAGCGGCCCCCUUGCGGCUAUUGGCGGAAACACUGAGCGAAAUAGCCUUACUGUUCAGCGCUGCGGCGGUAUACAUACAUAUAUACAUAGUAGACAGGCUGGCGAUACAUAGAUACAGAUAUAUACAGAGGCUGGCAUAUACUGAAGCCAUUCCCGAAGCUUUGUUACUUUAUACAUGUUGCUUCGAAGCGUCACGAGUCCUUGGGUUCGAAACAUGAGCAUUAGCGAGAUGUUAGGUAGAAAAAUACACUUUAUAUUCCUUGUGUGUGUGUGUGUGUGUGUGUGUGUGUGUGUGUCGGGAAGUCAUCAAACACACUGCAUUUCGUUUAUUCUGAGUGAGUGAGUGAGUGAGUGAGUCAUUUGGUUCGAGACUUCCAAGCAAACCCCCCACGAGACAUGACCGAGCUGCUUCAAAUGAUUCAAAUGUUUCAUCCAUCUGGCUGUUUGUGUUCGAAGCUGUUUCAUUCGCGAACUUUUGAUGUCGUCUGCGUCCCACAAAGGGAAUAACGUACAGUGCGAGUGUGUGUGUGUGUGUGUGUGUGUGUGUGUGUGUGUGUGUGUGCAAGGGGAGGGGGGGAAGGAUAAAGAGUUUUAGCUAUGUCUGUACGUGGAGAUUAAACGAUAUACUCUUGCCACACACACACACGAGAGAGAGAGAGAGAGAGAGAGAGAGAGAGAGAGAGAGAGAGAGAAUAUUUCAUAACGUCAUUAAACACACGAUUCCAGUUAAUUAUUUUCCUCUCACUCACUUUCACUCUCUCCCACUCUAUCAAGUUUGGCCGACUGUUAUUGGAUUAGCACACACACACACACACACACACACACACACACACACACACACACACACACACACACACACACACA
This is a long non-coding RNA of Portunus trituberculatus (swimming crab), 1349 nucleotides long. RefSeq lists it as uncharacterized. The record is from RefSeq and is a predicted model, not a curated record. The transcript has 2 exons. NCBI's taxonomy places the organism in Eukaryota, Metazoa, Arthropoda, Malacostraca, Decapoda, Portunidae.